RNAcentral lists this ribosomal RNA (253 nucleotides) under uncultured bacterium. RNAcentral's name for it is "partial 16S ribosomal RNA". It matches the Rfam family "Bacterial small subunit ribosomal RNA", at positions 524 to 776 of the family's 1533-position model. The record is from RNAcentral.
UACGUAGGGGGCUAGCGUUGUCCGGAUUUAUUGGGCGUAAAGAGCGUGUAGGCGGCCAGGUAGGUCUGCUGUGAAAACUCGAGGCUCAACCUCGAGAUGUCGGCGGAAACCGUCUGGCUAGAGUCCGGAAGAGGAGAGUGGAAUUCCUGGUGUAGCGGUGAAAUGCGCAGAUAUCAGGAAGAACACCUAUGGCGAAGGCAGCUCUCUGGGACGGUACUGACGCUGAGACGCGAAAGCGUGGGGAGCGAACAGG